UUUGUCCUUUCAUCUAGAUUUGGAAUUUGAUGGUCUAUAUGAUCGUUUUCUCACUUUUAGACCAUAUAUGACAACUUAAAAAUUCAUCAGACCAUAUAAAUUGACAUCAUUUCAAUAAAAAAUCAGAACACCAACACGCCAUUAAGAUAACCCAACACCCUUUUUCCUUCUCAUUUCCAUUUAAGUUUUUCUAUUUUAGAAAUGUAAAUUGUAUGAUCAUUCAAAUUAGACCUAUAACUUUGUGCCUCCCAAAGUGAUGAUUGGAAAUUGGAAUGACAAUGAGUUUAAAUUCUUCCCAUCUUCUUCUUGUUUUCUUGGGUGUCCUCCUUUCUCUCAGAUCUAUUUUAUCUGUAAAACAUUAAUUAGAAAGAGGGUGUGAUAUGCUUCUUCAUGUAAUGCUCCCCUAAAGAUACUUCAUCAAAAUUUCUUCAGGGAUUAUCUUCUUCAUUCAUAAGCUUCUUACUUAGAUGAUGGAUGAAACUGAAUCUUAUGAAAAAAAAUAUAAGAAGCAUUUGAAGGAGAAAGAGCAGAAAAGAAUGAAAAAGCUCAUGGAUCUUUUUCUACGCAGUGCUUCCUCUGCAGAGAAAUCCAUGAGGUCUCUGGAAAAAGAGAAUGCAAGACUAGAAACUGUUCUUGAAGGAAUACAACGACUUCAGCUGCGAAUUGUAGAGAUGAUAAGGGAUCCAAAUGCCCCAACAAGAAGAAGUAUCGGUAUUCUUCUUGUAAAAGAAUCACAGCGAAUUGCAGGAAUGAGAUCAACCAUUGAAGCGGUGGAGAAGAUCUUAUCUGUAUUUGACACCUCUUUACUGCAAGAUCAUCCCAACAAGCGAAAAGAAUUCAAAGAUCAUCCCCUAAUUGAAAAAAGAGUGCUACAGUUUGCUGCAAAGGCUCACUUUAUCAACACCUCUUAUGACAUAAAGCCCAAGAUUUCAAUCACAAGAUCUUCAAGCAUUUGAAUUUUUUGUUCUAGUUUUCAAUGGGGAUUCCAGAUUUGAAACUGUCAAACAAAAUAUCUUAGUUCUUGUUGCAGGCUUGGUACAGAGCAAGGGGAUUUAAGCAAAUCUUUGAUUUCUUUUUUCUUUCCAAUCAUAUUCAGUCUCUGCAUUUGAAGAUGAUAUAAUAGCAUAUCUUGUAAGGGAAGAAAAUGGGUUACAGCUUAGACACAGAAAUCCCUGCAGAACAUCAAUAUAUUGAGACUGCAUAGUUUCAUACCAUGAUAUCUGUACAAGUGCUUCUGUCAUAAAAUCAUGUCUACUUUUGAAGUACUGGUAUUGUUUUUCAUUGGGUAUCUAACUUAUAAUGUAGUUGUUCUUCAAGUUUAACUAUUUUAAUUUUGUUUCUUGGUA
Molecule: long non-coding RNA, 1346 nt
Organism: Cryptomeria japonica (Japanese cedar)
Lineage: Eukaryota; Viridiplantae; Streptophyta; Pinopsida; Cupressales; Cupressaceae
Exons: 2
Source: RefSeq, a predicted model, not a curated record